AGGAAGCAGAGCCUGGAGUGGCGGGUUCGGAUGCUGGCAGUGCCCGAGAGAAGAAAAAUUCCAAAGGAAAUGCAGCAGCCAGGCAGGAGCUCUCCGACAUGGCCUACUUGAAAACAAAAGUGGUGGAAGGGGAUGAGUCACUGCUGUCAUCGGCAGAGGAAAGCGAGACUGAGGGGACAAGCAGUGACGAGGCUGCCGAAGCAGAGAAGCCGAGGCAGGCGAAGUCGGCUGGUUCUGGCCUUGCCGAAGGGGCUGCACUGGGUGCAAAGGUCAAGGCGGCAAGUGCCGGAGGGAUCCAGAGCCCGAAAGCCACAUCGCAGGUCAAAACACCAGCCGGAGCAAACAAGCCCAGCACGCCACACACGGUGAAGCUGCGGGGUGCCCCCU
Molecule: long non-coding RNA, 387 nt
Filed under: Varanus komodoensis (Komodo dragon)
Lineage: Eukaryota; Metazoa; Chordata; Lepidosauria; Squamata; Varanidae
Description: lncRNA (ENSVKKG00000005518.1)
Source: RNAcentral